AAACAUUGCUAUGAAUCAGAAAAUGUACUCAUUGAAGUUACAAAAAAAAAAAAAAGCUGAGAUUAAUAAAGCUCAGAAAAGCAUAAGGAGAUGUAAUUAGAAACUUUACAAGAUUCCGGUUUUAAACUUGACCAGAUGUUAGCAGUAAGAUGAUUAUAUUCUGCAAUUUGUGCACUAUAUAGCCGUGGCAAAUGUUACAUCACCUGAGGCAUAUGGAUGAAGUGACCUUGACUUCUGUUUCCCAGUGUAUUAGCAAGUGUCUGUGCAUUCCUUUGGCCGUCAGAUUCUCUUCUCUGAAGAGAGUAUCACUGAGGAACAGCUUGAGAUAAGCACUGUGAACCAAAAGAGAGAUCCUGAUGGCUGUCAGAUCAGAGUAGCAGUUGGCCAAGAAGACAAAUUGCCUUCCUGCUACAGGCACUUGCCAUAGCUGUUGUGGUGUGCCUUGGAACAUGAUGUCCUCCACAGGUGGCAGCCUGCAGCAAGAAAUUGGUUGGACCUGCAGAGAUACAGCCCAAUGACAAGGGCUGGCACUUUGGAUUGCAACAUUACCGAAACGAAAAGCGUGAACACUACAGGAAUUUCUGCUCUAUGGAAAAAUGUUAUUUUUGGAUUCUUCAGGAAGGCGUGCAUAUAAAACCACCGGUUCCCUGCACUCUCUCUGUUGUCCGAUUUGUUAAACUCAAGUGGUCCCAUGUGUGAGUAGCAUGACUGCCAGAAGUGCUCUGCAGCCAUCUGCUUUUUUGGUAAGUCUUUGAUUAUUUCUUUGUCUAUAUUUCUGUCCGAAAUUAGAACUGGCAACUCAAUUGGUUGCUUAAUAUUGUUUUUUUUAUAAUUUAACAUUUCCAACUUAUGGCUAGGAAAUAGCAGCAAGGUAAUAAAAAGCACAAGAAAUAAACUUUUCUACUGAAGUCCUGGUGGAGCUUUUGUACCAUAUUGUUUCAGCAACUGAACAGAGAAAGUUUUACUCUUUGUGGGUAAUAUCAAGCUGGAAGGAGCAGACGUAGCAGUUCAAUGAACCGUCCAGAAAAUGUGGAGAAGAACUCCCAGGCUCUGGUAGAGGCACUUGCAAUAGAGGUGAACUUUGAAGUCAAUGCUGCAUUUAGAUCAGAACCAAACCACACCAUAGAGGAAGAAAGUUAAAAGCAGGGGGACCACUUCUGAAGCUAGGGGUCUCAUAUGAUAGCUAGAAAUUUGUUCCCUGUGUAGGUCUGCUAUGGAGGCUGCAUGCUUGCUGGCUCUAUAGUUUCAAAGCCUGAGAGAGGCUCUGACUGAUAUACUGCAACUGGGUAGUGUGUGCUGCCAGGUUGUCUCAAUGGAAACUUCACGAGAGGUCCUGGAUUUCUUCACUGAGGACUUCAGUGCAGAAGCCAGGUCCUGUAUCUCCUGUACCUGGAGAGAGGACUGGAAGUCAGGGCUAGGGCGGACACUGUGAUCAUUGGCUCUGUCCUUCCAUGUGGAAUCCAGAGAGGAUACCAACACACAUGCCCUGUAAUGCUGACUUUGUGGCAGAGCACACAAUAUAGAAUAAUUUAUUAUUGAGUGCUUUGUUUGCUUGUUUUUCUCAGUGGCUUUUUUUUUUCUUUCUUUCUAAAUGACAUGCAUUAGAACUUUAGUCCAAUCUAAAGUGCAACAGCUCUGCAGGGUGAUGAUGGAAACUUAUGUGCCAGAUGCAGAGACUUGGUAUUUCCAGUAGCCACUCUGGCCUGCAUUGCUGGUAGGCAUGAGAAGGAGGGUGGCUUUCCUUAGUGCAGAAUCACAUUGUAAAAUGUGCCAUGUUCUGAGCGUGCUGUUGGUCCCCUACCACAGCCUCUCAAUCCAUUGCCUGUCCUUGUCAUUUCUCUUACUGUGGCAAGGGGAAGAUAUUUCUUUCUGAUCACAAAGGGCUCUGAAAAAUGAAUUCCUUUUGCUCUUUCAGAAUUCCCUCUGAUUCUGUGAGAGAUGGUGGAUUUCGUGGCAGUGUUAUACAGAAAACCAGAAGCUCCUGGGGCUGUGGUGGCAUGGGCGAUGCCGCCAAGGUGGGCUGCUCUGCCUCUCUUGAUUUGCAGGCUGCUAAGGGCUAGCAGUGCUCAGAGCUGUCAGACGGAGAAAAGGCAGGCUCUGUUUCCAAAUAUACAAAUGCUCAGAACGUAAAAAAAUAUUUUUGUUUUAAAUUUUAAUAAAGCAGAGGGAGGGAGAGGAAAGGGAAAUAAAAUAGCAAGUAGGGAUGUGGUGGGAGCCAGCCAGGCUGGGGCUUGCUAAUAUCUGAACUGGGCUGAUGAAAAAUGUUUUAAGUCUGCCGGAAGGUCCCGAAAGCGCAGCUCUGCCCGGAUUGAGUCAGUGGUGACAGGAUUGGGCCCUCUGUUACUUUUUUAUUUGGUGUUAUAAAUUACUUUCCCACAUUUCCAAAGACAUUAACGAAUCUUUUCAAGGCAUGCUGUGAAAAUCAUUGCAUGUGUUGCUUAAACUACUUAUCCAUAUGUAGGUUUGUACACUAUAGGAGCUUUUCCUUUUUGUUUUGCUCUUCCAGAACACUGGCAAACUACAAAUCUUUCCUCCUCUCCCCACUUUGAUUUUUUCCAGGUAAAAUGAUGGCAGAUGUACUCAGCUCAGUUUCAUAUAACAUAUUGCUUACUGGAAGGACAAAUUUAGCUCCCUGCCCUUUUACUGUAAACUUGGUUUUGUUUUUUAUGUAUUUGUAAUUUCCUUUCGACCAUUUAUAAACAGGUUAGAAAUACCAUUUCGAGCUGAUUCUAUUAAUAAUCAGAGUUCUUUAUAUGGGUUCUUUAGGAUCUGUGCAGUAGGAACAAACUGUAUGGUAAACAAACAUCUCCAAACUCUUCCUGCUGCAAAAAUAUUCACUGCAUUGUUUUGCUGUUCCUUGGAGUAUUCUGCCUUUACUUAGAGUGUUAUAGUCAGGGAUUUAGCUGCUAAUUGUGUUUUCCAGGAAGAGCGUUUCAUUUUAUUCCUUUAGGGUACAAAAAGGAAUAAUUUUUGCAACAACAUUCGUAUCCCAUUAAAAAAAUUAAAACUGUCAUUGGAAAACUGUGAGAAUUGAGUUUCUGAUGACAGAGCCAGAAGGCUGCUGGCUGCUUUCCCUGCUUGCCUCAAUGCUAUGGCUGAGCCAAGGCAGUGAUUCACUCUCACUGGACUGGGUGACCUCCAGAGGUCCCUUUACACCUCAGUUAUUCUGUGGCACCAUGAAGUUAGAGGGUUCUCUUUCCUCCCCCUGGCUGGUUGCACAGCCCUCCACUUCCCUUGUGCUGUUCUGGUGAGCAGGUACAAUGCACUGCACCUGCACAAAGCCAAGGUGAGAGGGGGAAGUGGAGCGUGGGUUUCCUUGCAGUAAGGAGUUGGAGUGUGCUGAGCAAAGGGCUGGUGUGUGCUGGAACCAGCAUAACAGAGGGGGCAGGCUGUGUGAUGGGCUGUGGUGGUGGAGAGGGCUGUGGGACAGAGCUUUGGGCUGCUAAGCAGCUUACCUCCAAAUGGGUUAUAGCAGGGGCCAUUCACAUCUCCUAGCGUUCCAGUGCAAGGAUGUAUGUGGACAGCCUUUUUGCAGGUUGUGUUCUCCACCUUGAUUUCAUUUACUGAUUUUAACCUGAUGUGAAUGUACUCAUAUGCAAUCUUGCUAUCAUCACAACAGAAUGUGUGGCUUCACUGGCACAAGGAGGCAGGCAGCUGUGCAGGGUGAGCUCUGCAGUCUCAGAGAUGAAGGUGGAUUAAAAGUUCUGUGGCCACCCAUUUCCAUCCCAAGGAACACUGCAAUUUGCUGCUCCCUCGGUCUGCAUCUUGUCCCCUCCCUCUCUUCAUCACUCGUACUCAUAUUACCCUGGGAGCUGAUUAGCUCCUUCCCCCUUGUUAGUGUUCAACCAAUUUAGUGAGCUGAAUCAGUUCACUGCAGGGUCAGACAAGCACUGGGGCCCUCAGUGCUGGAGCAGAGGAUGGGACCGGGGCUGGGGCACACCUGGCUGCAGUUCGGGUGUUCUGCUGCCAUCACUUGUGAGACUGUGAGGUACAUCACUGUGUUAUCUCUGCUGAAAGUUACCCCAUCUCCUUGGGUUAGUGGUUUUAAAGUGGGGUUGUUUCAUGGAUUUUGUUUUUACAGUAUGGAUGAUAAAUCACAGUGAACGUGGGGAGAUGCAUGGGUGGUGAGAGAGAGCAAGCAGAGAAAUAAUGAGAAAUAUGGAUUUUCAGUGUGCAGUGGCAGACCCUGGGAGGAUUUCUGCAUGCAGGCUAUAGACCUUUAGCCCAGGUUGUGAAUUAUUUUUCCUUUUGUAGAGCAGUUGCUCAGAAAUAGUGUCAGUAAUUCCAGCAAGAAAUCAUUAAUAAACUUAUUUCUGUGAACACUAACAAACUUUGUCAUUCAGGUCACAAGAUAAAUACAUUGGGUUAAAGGUUUCAGAUGUGCAGUUAAUAGCUGACUGAGAGCAGUGAAAGAUGGUGGUAUUUGAGACCUUAACGUUUUUAUUAUCUGUUUGCUGAGCAUCCCAAAGAAAUAGAUAAUUUAAACAUAUGACACACGCUGUAGUGUGGGUUGGUGUCACCACAGCAUUGAGCUCCUCUAAGCACAGGGGCCAGAAGCAUGGCGAUGAACUUGCUUUCAGUGCUUUGUCUUCUCUAAAUGUAAAUUUGGGCACCUACUUUUCUACUCACUGGUGAUAACCUUUCUGUGAACUGUCUGGGGCCUCAUGCUUUCACCUGUUAAAAUAAAUGACAUUUAUUAAAAAAAAAAACAAUAACACCAAAACCACAUUGUUUUAGGCAUAAAUCUACCACUUCAAUUGCAUGAGCCUGUCAGUGAAUUUCUGACACCAAGUUAUGUUAUUUAAUGAGUGCUAUUAGGUAGUUCUGUCACUUAAUAGGAUUGAGGGUUGGAAAUGCCAUGUAAUAUCGCUUCACUGGAGAAAAAAUCAACAAACAGCCCUCACUAAAAACCUCGCGUUGCCUUUGAUGUCAGUGGGACCUGCUGUCACUUCAGAGGGGAGCCCGCCGUGCUGUUUGCACGGGGCUCCAGCUGCCAUUUUUGGAGGAGAGGCCACCGUUAUUCUUGGCAAUGUGACACGAGGGCACCCAACAAAACAAUUCUCCCACCAUCAGACCGAGAGUGAAGAAACAUUGAAUAGCUAUGGCAGAAGUUAUGUCCAUCAGAUAUCCUCUAGUUCAAGGAAAAAGAACUGUGGGCUGUACAUUGUCACGUUUUCACUUUUACUGGGUUAACGCCUGAAAUCCCUGCUUAGGCUCAGGGCUGUCCUAUGUGGUGAGAUUCAGAUUUUGUGCUGAAGGGUCCCCAGGUGAACCUCUGCUUGUCCUCUGUGGUGAGUGAACUCCCAGGUCAUUCAGAGUAAGGGCAGCGAUAACAGUAUAUUCCAACCAGUUGUACUGAUUUGUUUCUGCUGAAUCUCCUAGAGUUGAGGAAAAAACAUAAAAACUACGGGGUAAGUGGUGGAAAAUGUAUAAUCAAAUACCAGCAAAACCGUUACAAACAUUGCUAUUGCCAGCUUGGUUAGGUAGGUUGUGUGUGAGCAUAUUGUAAGCGCUGUACACGUGUAUUAAAGAAAAGGUAAAUUCCAGACAUGAAAUGAAUCUCCCCUGAAGUCCCUGACAGAAGUCUCUCUCACUUCAGAGCAGUCAGGACUUCACUGCAAAUCCUGCUGAGCCCAUUUCAGGCUGGAUAAGCUGUAUCCAGCAGGAUUGAAUAAGUCAUGUGCAGUGUACUCCAUUUUUAUAAAGGGAUCUGGAAGCUCGGUAGUGGGUGUUCUUCAAUCCUAAGGCAUACUUUUGAGGUUAAGAUAUACACAAUGUUUUCCUGUAACAAAUCAGAUUUGUCAUUACUUGAAUAAGUACUGAUAAAGACCUGGGAAGAAGUUAAAUCCUACGCAUAACUUCAUGAAAUAAUAGCAAUGAAAAUGCUUUAGAAGUGAAUUAGGCUGCAAUAUCCUCAAUUCUUCAGUUGUGACAUAUGAUUUCCAAAGCCUGUGGCAGAUCUUGGAAAUAAAACUGGAUCUAAGGAUUAAGGGUCCUUCCAAGACUGGACUUCUUGCAUUUCAUCUUAGAUGCGUCAGAUUUGCAGAACUUCAGGUGUGUUUUUUAUUGAAAUCCUUGUCUGGCUGUUAAUUAGUGUGCAACUCACAGUGCUUCCAAGUGGGAUUUGUGACCUGAAAAGAAAGUGGGUUAUGCAAAAAAUGGCUUUGGCUUUGUCAGGGUAGUGAAAAGCGUGUGCUCCAUUGCAGCUGAAGACAUUCAAGCUGCGUAGCAAAUGUCCUUUGGGUCAAAAUGAUAUAUGCACUUAGAGAAGGAAGGGGAAGUCCCAGGGUUUGAGUCCUUGGUGAAAGAAAGGUUUAUUAAGUGCAGAUCUUUUUAUGGACCUUGACAGCGGGAUCAGAACAGGAUGCGCCCCCCUAAGCUUUAUGGAGCCCUGCUGGGAUAGGUCAUUUUGGGACUAAAUCAAAUAUGAUGUGAGCCAACUUAUUCUGUUUGGAAAGCUGUACAGGUCCCUGGUUUGAAACAGGCCACUUCAUCCAGCCCUACCCCUGACAGAGGUGGCUGCCCCCCAGCUCAGGCUGCCCAGGGCCCAUCCACGGCCUCGGGCACCACAGGGAAGCGGCACCCACAGCUCUGGGCAGCAGUGCCAGCACCUCACCACUUCUGAGUGAAGGAUUUCCUCCUGCAACUUUGGGAUAUGUUUCUCAGAUGCUGUGCCACUAGGAGAGCUUCACUAGUGGUGGAGCAGAUGUAGGUCGUGGUGGUGUGUUGACAAGGAAUUCACAAAAGCACGUGAUGAAGUUGUGAUGCAGUCCCUUCAUCCUGUUAGUGUCUGUCCUCAGCAAAGGGGAAGUCCAAUCCUGCAUGCUUCUUGCUCCACUGUUAUUCUUCUUCGUGGCAAUGACCUGGAUCAGAAAACACGUUCAGCUAGGAACUAGCCAGGCUAAAAUGAAAGAAAAAAAAGAGAAAAAAUCACAAACUUGGAGCAAGGCCAGGCUGAAGAUCUUCUGCAGCUCAAAGCUCGUAGGAAUAGGCAGCACAGGGCAGUCACAAUUUGCCCAUGAAGACCUAGGAGGGAAUCAGGCGAACAAAUGGAUCAUGGGGACAUACUUCAAAAGCCAGCUUCUCUCCCUGAAGGAGUCGACUCCCUGCAUCAGUGACUUUGUGGGAGCUUCCCUGCUUCAGUGCAUUAGCAUUAUUUUCCAUGGGCACAGGCUGGGAGAGACAGGUUUCUUCACUUUCUACUGUAUCUGCAUGAGAACAGCCUUCAGGAGGAACGCUGAGACACCACAGACUUCGCAUGUAACAGCUUUGGUGUGGGAACUGCGAUCACCGCUCCGUAAGGCUUUGGCUGCCUUCCCAGCUCGCGGGUGUUGAAGUUCUCGGGGUGUCCUUGCACAGGAGUUGGAGGCGAUUUAUAGCUCGUGUGUUGGGAAACAGCGUUCGUGCAAAUCAUUUUUCUUAGAUAAGUGGGAAAUCUGGAGUCUUUUGGGACUUUUGGGUAGAAAGGCUUUAGCUUUUAUUUUCUUUAGAAGAAAUAACGCAGUGCUCCCACUCCUCGUAUUCAAAGUAGGAAGCAUUUAUGUUUUGGAAGACUUUUAUCUCUGACAAACUGAAUAAGAGAAACAAAAGAAUUAGCCUGAGCUGCCACCUCCUCCCAGACACCCCGAGCAGUCCUAUUAAUGGAUGGUUUUUGCUUUUAGAUGAUAUACAAACUGUCUUUUUAGUUGUCCUGCAAGGCUGAGGCCCUGGCUCCCCAAAGUGCAGCGGUGCUUCCAGCGGCUGAUGCACAGCACUGACGGGCGGCAGGGAGAGACCUGCGUGGAGAGUUUCCGUCAGGCUGCAGCCAUCAGUGUGAGGCUGCUGGGCCGGCUCCAGCCAGCCUGCGUGAUAUUUCCUCUGGAGCUUCAGUCGGAUUAGAUAUUCAUCUUCUCUUCCUGUUCCAAACCGUUGUUUAGUGUUGAUGUGUCCUCUCGUGCUGUUGCCAAGUUCCACGCAGUGGUGGUAAAGGCAGUCCUACAUCUAUGCUGAGAUUAUUAAACUCUUGGGGAAGUUUAACCCUUUCUCUCCAUUGAAGUUAGUGGGACUUAUGCACCUAAAUCUCUUCAACUGCUUUGCAGAUUCCAGUACCACAACAACCUAAAGCCCAGGCUCAGCAGCAGUGGAUCCAGACCUGCUCCCCAGGCUGGGGAUGCUCACCACAAUGGUUUCCCUUCUGGUAAGGGAGCUUGCCAUGCCUGGGCUGCCUGCAACUUGCUUUCCUGCAGAGUGACUUCAACCUGCCCACAGCACCUUGCACAUGAUCCUUGUAUGUGGAGCUUUGCCUUCCAGACUGCACUGUGCCCUUCAAUAUUGUGGUGCUGUUGGCUGGCCUCUACACCAGGAUAGCUGUUACAGCUCUUCUCGUGCCCCACUUUGGACAGGAGCCCGGCAAAAUGACUGUCUCACCAGUGAAGUAAUGAAGGGUGCUGCAGGGAAAUCUUAACACCGUGGUAUUUGAACAUAAUCAUUAAGCCUUUACACUUUUGAUAGAUCACAUGACUGGGUACGAAAUGACUGCAUAAAAACCUAUCUCAUCUGGGAUAGAUGUUAAUAUUCCCCUGGAAAUGCAAGUAGCCAAAUGUUUCCUAAAUGGCUACAGUUCUCUAAAGGAAGAGGGUUUCCUUUGGCAUUUUUUGUUUGGAUUUGCUGUUGUUUUGUUGUCUUUUUUUUCCUCUUUCAAAUCCUUGGUGAUACAAUAACUGCAAACAAAUACGUACAUGCAGAAGUUCACAGCUUCUCACAUGGUACAUGUGCCAUAGAACGGGACAGCGGACACAUAAUGAGGAGCCUAAUCCAUUUCUGAAAUCCAGUCACAGGACUGAUGGCUUAGAAAGACUUUUAAAACUCAUUGUCUGGGAGUACAAGGAUGAAUAACUGUAAUAAGCUUUGAAAUGUAUUUCCUUAAGAACAAUGCGGUCUAUUCCUUUAAGUUGAGGCCUUUGAUUCAUUCAAAGGGCUCUGCUGAGCGCUAAGGAGGGGAGGUAGGAGUCAGGCUGGAAUUAAAGCUUUGGCCUUGGUAGAGGACCUGUAUCUACAAAAGCUUGUUGCAAUCAAAACCCCAAGCAAUCCCACAAAGCCCCUCCUCCAGAUCUGCAACCCUGUGCACAGAAAAGAUGUCAGCUUUUGCUGUAGUUGUUACAGCAUUUUAAUUUCAAAUGGGACUGCAGACCCCUGUUAAUAUUGGUUGGGAAGCAAUAACAUGGAUAAGUUCUGUAGGAAAAAUAUAAAAGCCAGGGAAAAAAAAUUGUGUCAGUGUACCUCUGGUGUCAGUGUGUGAAGUGCCAGCAUACAUAAUGCUGCUUUUCUCCCUUAUUUUUUCAGCCUCAGAAGGACUGGGCUCUUCUCUGUCUGCCUGACUCUGUAAAGAAAUGACCAUGGAGAAGUGUUUCUCGGUGAUGAAUUUCACACAGAAAUCAGAUCCAAGGUCGUCUUCUUCUCUGGCAGGUCUGUGAUUUGGGGCCAGCCCUGAGGAAAUUCUGUCCUCUGCACGUGAGCAUAAGUCAAAACGGGAAGCGGUUCAGCAGAAGUCAGGAACGCUUCCACCGCAAUAAAUGAAAGCGUAAAUUAAAGCAGCUUCAAGGAGCAGCCGUGGCCUUAACACCACGUCUGAAAGGCUCAGUGCUUGCAGACUCAUAGAAAAAAUGGGUUUGGAAAGAUCUGUAGGCAUCCGGAUGAACCAUCUGCUCAGAGCUAACUUCCAAGCUUGAUGGGAGCCAUGCAGGGUAUUACCAGCUGGGUUUGCAAAACCAAAUGCCGUGGAGAAGGGAGUCCUUCUGUCUCAGGAGCAUUGUCACUUGCAGAUGAGCUGUGCCUAGCUUGGGGAUUUAUUGUUAAUUUUGCUCCUGUCUCAAAAGCCUUCGAUCACUCAGGCAAAUUAGAAGCCACAUAAUAAAGAAGAGAUCGGUCAUUCCCUCUCUCCUCCUCUCCCUUGAGCCUGUGCUAAUCGCUUAAAUAAUUCUUCUUAUCUCUAACCAUCCUUUUUUUAUUCUCUUCAAAGCAUCCUUUGGGAAAUGUACUCCAAAGACAGAGCUGAGAGUCUGGCAGCAAAUAAACCGAGUUUCAGUUCCA
Long non-coding RNA from Gallus gallus (chicken), 10068 nucleotides. RefSeq lists it as uncharacterized. NCBI's taxonomy places the organism in Eukaryota, Metazoa, Chordata, Aves, Galliformes, Phasianidae. The transcript is spliced from 5 exons. The record is from RefSeq and is a predicted model, not a curated record.